Molecule: ribosomal RNA, 570 nt
Filed under: uncultured bacterium
Lineage: Bacteria
Description: partial 16S ribosomal RNA
Rfam family: Bacterial small subunit ribosomal RNA
Source: RNAcentral
UGGGGAAUUUUGGACAAUGGGCGAAAGCCUGAUCCAGCAAUGCCGCGUGUGUGAAGAAGGCCUUCGGGUUGUAAAGCACUUUUGUCCGGAAAGAAAUCCUUGGCUCUAAUACAGUCGGGGGAUGACGGUACCGGAAGAAUAAGCACCGGCUAACUACGUGCCAGCAGCCGCGGUAAUACGUAGGGUGCAAGCGUUAAUCGGAAUUACUGGGCGUAAAGCGUGCGCAGGCGGUUUGCUAAGACCGAUGUGAAAUCCCCGGGCUCAACCUGGGAACUGCAUUGGUGACUGGCAGGCUAGAGUAUGGCAGAGGGGGGUAGAGUUCCACGUGUAGCAGUGAAAUGCGUAGAGAUGUGGAGGAAUACCGAUGGCGAAGGCAGCCCCCUGGGCCAAUACUGACGCUCAUGCACGAAAGCGUGGGGAGCAAUCAGGAUUAGAUACCCUGGUAGUCCACGCCCUAAACGAUGUCAACUAGUUGUUGGGGAUUCAUUUCCUUAGUAACGUAGCUAACGCGUGAAGUUGACCGCCUGGGGAGUACGGUCGCAAGAUUAAAACUCAAAGGAAUUGACGGGG